RNAcentral lists this ribosomal RNA (249 nucleotides) under uncultured bacterium. Its description in RNAcentral is "partial 16S ribosomal RNA". It matches the Rfam family "Bacterial small subunit ribosomal RNA", at positions 84 to 334 of the family's 1533-position model. The record is from RNAcentral.
UUUGAUGGCGACCGGCGCACGGGUGAGUAACACGUAUCCAACCUGCCGAUGACUCGGGGAUAGCCUUUCGAAAGAAAGAUUAAUACCCGAUGGCAUAGUUCUUCCGCAUGGUAGAACUACUAAAGAAUUUCGGUCAUCGAUGGGGAUGCGUUCCAUUAGGUUGUUGGCGGGGUAACGGCCCACCAAGCCUUCGAUAGAUAGGGGUUCUGAGAGGAAGGUCCCCCACAUUGGAACUGAGACACGGUCCAA